GCACUGCGCGAUAAAAUCUCAGCCAGCAA
Molecule: small RNA, 29 nt
Filed under: Bombyx mori (domestic silkworm)
Lineage: Eukaryota; Metazoa; Arthropoda; Insecta; Lepidoptera; Bombycidae
Description: ovarian small RNA-16425
Source: RNAcentral